This 536-nucleotide ribosomal RNA is filed under the name uncultured prokaryote. Its description in RNAcentral is "bacterial SSU rRNA". It matches the Rfam family "Archaeal small subunit ribosomal RNA", at positions 739 to 1267 of the family's 1478-position model. The record is from RNAcentral.
GGGUAGUCCCAGCUGUAAACGAUGCUCGCUAGGUGUCGGGUGCGGUGCGUCCGUAUUCGGUGCCGUAGGGAAACCGCGAAGCGAGCCGCCUGGGAAGUACGGUCGCAAGGCUGAAACUUAAAGGAAUUGGCGGGGGAGCACUACAACGGGUGGAGCCUGCGGUUUAAUUGGAUUCAACGCCGGAAAACUCACCAGAUCAGACAGCAGUAUGAAGGUCAGGCUGAAGACCUUACCUGAUCCGCUGAGAGGAGGUGCAUGGCCGUCGUCAGUUCGUACUGUGAAGCAUCCUGUUAAGUCAGGUAACGAGCGAGACCCGUGCCUACAGUUGCCAGCAGCUUCGCAAGAAGGAUGGGCACACUGUAGGGACCGCCGUCGCUAAGACGGAGGAAGGCGCGGGCAACGGUAGGUCAGUAUGCCCCGAAUGAUCUGGGCUACACGCGGGGCUACAAUGGUUGGGGACAAUGGGGCACCUACCCCCGAAAGGGGGAUGGGGAAAUCUCCUAAACCUAGCCGUAGUUCGGAUCGAGGACUGUAAC